Molecule: ribosomal RNA, 253 nt
Filed under: uncultured bacterium
Lineage: Bacteria
Description: partial 16S ribosomal RNA
Rfam family: Bacterial small subunit ribosomal RNA
Source: RNAcentral
UACGUAGGGGGCUAGCGUUGUCCGGAAUCAUUGGGCGUAAAGAGCGUGUAGGCGGCCAGGUAGGUCCGUUGUGAAAACUCGAGGCUCAACCUCGAGCUGUCGAUGGAAACCAUCUGGCUAGAGUCCGGAAGAGGAGAGUGGAAUUCCCGGUGUAGCGGUGAAAUGCGCAGAUAUCGGGAAGAACACCCGUGGCGAAGGCGGCUCUCUGGGACGGUACUGACGCUGAGACGCGAAAGCGUGGGGAGCGAACAGG